AACGAACGCUGGCGGCAUGCCUAACACAUGCAAGUCGAACGAGGCCUUCGGGUCUAGUGGCGCACGGGUGCGUAACGCGUGGGAACCUGCCCUUAGGUUCGGAAUAACUCCCCGAAAGGGGUGCUAAUACCGGAUAAUGUCUUCGGACCAAAGAUUUAUCGCCUUUGGAUGGGCCCGCGUUGGAUUAGCUAGUUGGUAGGGUAAAAGCCUACCAAGGCGACGAUCCAUAGCUGGUCUGAGAGGAUGAUCAGCCACACUGGGACUGAGACACGGCCCAGACUCCUACGGGAGGCAGCAAUGGGGAAUAUUGGACAAUGGGCGAAAGCCUGAUCCAGCAAUGCCGCGUGAGUGAUGAAGGCCUUAGGGUUGUAAAGCUCUUUUACCCGGGAUGAUAAUGACAGUACCGGGAGAAUAAGCUCCGGCUAACUCCGUG
RNAcentral lists this ribosomal RNA (433 nucleotides) under uncultured bacterium. RNAcentral describes it as "partial 16S ribosomal RNA". It matches the Rfam family "Bacterial small subunit ribosomal RNA", at positions 29 to 507 of the family's 1533-position model. The record is from RNAcentral.